RNAcentral lists this ribosomal RNA (497 nucleotides) under uncultured bacterium. Its description in RNAcentral is "partial 16S ribosomal RNA". It matches the Rfam family "Bacterial small subunit ribosomal RNA", at positions 28 to 507 of the family's 1533-position model. The record is from RNAcentral.
GAUGAACGCUGGCGGCGUGCCUAAUACAUGCAAGUAGAACGCUGAAGGAAGGAGCUUGCUCUUUCCGGGUGAGUUGCGAACGGGUGAGUAACGCGUAGGUAACCUGCCUGGUAGCGGGGGAUAACUAUUGGAAACGAUAGCUAAUACCGCAUAACAGUAGAUGUUGCAUGAUAUCUACUUAAAAGGUGCAAUUGCACCACUACCAGAUGGACCUGCGUUGUAUUAGCUAGUUGGUGAGGUAACGGCUCACCAAGGCGACGAUACAUAGCCGACCUGAGAGGGUGAUCGGCCACACUGGGACCGAGACACGGCCCAGACUCCUACGGGAGGCAGCAGUAGGGAAACUUCGGCCAUGGACGGAAGUCUGACCGAGCAACGCCGCGUGAGGGAAGAAGGGUUUCGGGUCGUAAAGGUCUGUUGUAAGAGAAGAAAGAGUGUGAGAGUGGAAAGUUCACGCUGUGACGGUAUCUUACCAGAAAGGGACGGCUAACUACGUG